Equus caballus (horse) is the source of this 1591-nucleotide long non-coding RNA. Lineage: Eukaryota; Metazoa; Chordata; Mammalia; Perissodactyla; Equidae. The record is from Ensembl.
UUUUCUUUCAGAUCUUGUGACCUUUUGAUAUUUUUUAUUUUAAUUGUGCCAUGGACCAUUUGUAAACAAAUCGAUUUACUUUUGUUGGUUAUAAGUUGAAGAUUUAGCAUCAUGACUUUAAGGUCUGUGGUUUUAUUUGUAAACUUGCAAUUGCUCUUUUUGCAAGGGCAAAAGUAUUUCUUUAUUAAAUAAAGUACAAUAAUGGUGAAUGUACCAAAAUGCCAUCACUUAACUCUAUGAGAGAUCUGCAUUUUAAUCUAUAGUUUAAUAGUUUUAAUAUUUAUUAGCUAUUCAUAUGUUGAUCAUAGAUCAAACUUGUUGCUGUUUAUACAGAUAAUUGUAGAAUGCUCAUGGAAUAUCUUCUUUAGGAUAGGUGGAACCUUUCUGUAGUUAAACUGGGAAACCUUGUUGAGCUGGUUGAAGAUAGUGAUGCCCAUUUGAAAGUAAAUUUACACAGGUGUGAAUAGGUGCACUCAUAGAGACUUUGCUUCAGGAAAAUGUCAGUUCUAACGGUAACUGAUAGAGAUGUGAAUUUUUUAAAAGGCUGAUUUUAGGCACAUUUUGUUAACAUACAUCAGCAAAGUCAUAUUAGAAGAUCUGAAUGAACAAUCACGACCUCAGUGAUUAAAAAUAUUAUUUUCCUUUCUGGCCUUGAGCAGAUUGUUUACCUGUUAGACUCUAGACUCUGAACCCAGCAUAUAAAAAGAAUUCGAAAUGCUGAUGACGCAAGUGAGACUAUAUAUGUAAAAUGUUUUUAGCACUUUUCCCUUUUAAAAAGUAAAAACAGAUUAUCCUCGUGCGUUUUAAAAAUAUCUUUUCAGUUCUGAAAAUGUAGCAGGAAUGGAAAAAGUACUGAAAAAUGUCAUAUUUUAAAUGUUGGUUAUUAGAUCAAUUGAACUGAUCUGCUUAGGAUUUCCUGUAACUACACCUUUCAGAAGUGUGGACGGAGCAGUGGAAUUGCCCAUUGGGGAACAGUAAGCCCCUGCCUUGGAAAGGCAUCCCACAAAUCCUGGGCCAGAAGGUAUGGCCUGUUGAAACAUGGAGGUUCAGGUUUUUUGUUUUGCGAUGUAGAUAGGCAUGUAUUUAUGCAUUUUUGCAUUUGUAAAAUCAGCAAUUUUUCAAGUAAUGUAAAUGUAAUAUACUAGUUUACUUAAAAAGGUACUUGGGCAGAAUCUAAAGCUGCUACAGUGUUUGAUUAUGAGAAAUGUAACUUGUGGUAAGGAUGAAAAUGCAACUUGUUAGAACCAAAGGAAAUAAAAAUUUUGGGUAGUGUUUCAAAUUGUCUUUUGAACAGGAGUUUCUUAAAUACAUUGGUUUUGAUCAAAUGAAACUCAGUUCUCUCUUGAGAUUUGUGCUAAUCGUAAAAUGGAUGAAUGCAAAAACACCUUGUAAUUUAAUAUGGAAUUAUUAUAAUUAGGUUUACUGGAUUAUUAGCCUAAUAAGAAUGCUAGUAUGUAUUGGUUAGAAUACAUCUUAAUAUUUCACAUAAAAAAUUCAGUACACUUUCUUCAGAAUUUUCUUUUAUUUCAACUUGGAGCCUAGAUUACUUUGCCAAAUAAAUGUAUUAUUUUCAUAAUGCAAUAAAAUAUAA